RNAcentral lists this long non-coding RNA (699 nucleotides) under Arabidopsis lyrata. Its description in RNAcentral is "long non-coding RNA (ALYR_LNC000601)". Lineage: Eukaryota; Viridiplantae; Streptophyta; Magnoliopsida; Brassicales; Brassicaceae. The record is from RNAcentral.
UCUAUUACAGGUAAUAAUACCGUGAGUAGAAAGAGCCUUUUUCAAAAGAUUUUCAAAAAAAAUUACAAUCUGAUUUGGGCAAAAAAAAUUCAAAAGAUUUUAUCAUUUUAAUACUAAUCAUGAAAAAAUUACAACAUAUUUUCAUUCUUUAAUAUAGUUUACAGUCUAGGAUUGGUUGUUAUAAAGAAACAACUGAGAGAAGAAGUUACCACCGGAUGGUUUUGGCUAGUGGUUAAACAGUGGUUUAUCAUGUUGUGCUCAACCUUGGUGAGAGGGAUGCACACAUCACGUCAUAUCAUUAAGUAUGAGCAGAGGCUAGUCUCGAGCAGUUGGAGAAUAACGGCUUUGGCCUGAACCCCUCCUAGUUAACAAGGACAAAAAAAAAACAAUUUAGGAGUCUGGUCUAAAUUUCCUAGGUUAUCAAGUAGAAUCUGAUAAAUUUACAAAACAGAUGUUACGUGAUCAAUUUUUUUUUUGGGGUCAAAUUUACGUGAUCAUUUAGGAUAAGAAAAGACAAAGUAAAUGGAUUGAAAACACCUGAAAAUGUUAAACAAAUUAAAUGGAUUGAAUAGACUUGAAAAUUACAAGCCGAUACAAAGGCUUCACAAAUUGCUAUGUAUGAAUUCUUUUUUUAUGUGACAAUUGGAACAAACUAAGGAAAAGGAUUGAAUGGAAGAUAUAAUUUAUACACCUGUAUAU